GGGAUAUUGCACAAUGGGCGCAAGCCUGAUGCAGCAACGCCGCGUGCGGGAAGACGGCCUUCGGGUUGUAAACCGCUGUCCUUGGGGAAGAAACAAAUGACGGUACCCAAGAAGGAAGCCACGGCUAACUACGUGCCAGCAGCCGCGGUAAUACGUAGGUGGCAAGCGUUGUCCGGAUUUACUGGGUGUAAAGGGGGCGCAGGCGGGAAGCUAAGUUGGAUGUGAAAUACCGGGGCUCAACUCCGGAGCUGCAUCCAAAACUGGUUUUCUUGAGUGGAGUAGAGGCAAGCGGAAUUCCGAGUGUAGCGGUGAAAUGCGUAGAUAUUCGGAGGAACACCAGUGGCGAAGGCGGCUUGCUGGGCUCUAACUGACGCUGAGGCCCGAAAGCGUGGGGAGCAAACA
RNAcentral lists this ribosomal RNA (402 nucleotides) under uncultured bacterium. RNAcentral's name for it is "bacterial SSU rRNA". It matches the Rfam family "Bacterial small subunit ribosomal RNA", at positions 358 to 774 of the family's 1533-position model. The record is from RNAcentral.